UGAACGCUAGCUACAGGCUUAACACAUGCAAGUCGAGGGGCAGCAUGGUCUUAGCUUGCUAAGGCCGAUGGCGACCGGCGCACGGGUGAGUAACACGUAUCCAACCUGCCGUCUACUCUUGGACAGCCUUCUGAAAGGAAGAUUAAUACAAGAUGGCAUCAUGAGUCCGCAUGUUCACAUGAUUAAAGGUAUUCCGGUAGACGAUGGGGAUGCGUUCCAUUAGAUAGUAGGCGGGGUAACGGCCCACCUAGUCUUCGAUGGAUAGGGGUUCUGAGAGGAAGGUCCCCCACAUUGGAACUGAGACACGGUCCAAACUCCUACGGGAGGCAGCAGUGAGGAAUAUUGGUCAAUGGGCGAGAGCCUGAACCAGCCAAGUAGCGUGAAGGAUGACUGCCCUAUGGGUUGUAAACUUCUUUUAUAAAGGAAUAAAGUCGGGUAUGGAUACCCGUUUGCAUGUACUUUAUGAAUAAGGAUCGGCUAACUCCGUGCCAGCAGCCGCGGUAAUACGGAGGAUCCGAGCGUUAUCCGGAUUUAUUGGGUUUAAAGGGAGCGUAGAUGGAUGUUUAAGUCAGUUGUGAAAGUUUGCGGCUCAACCGUAAAAUUGCAGUUGAUACUGGAUAUCUUGAGUGCAGUUGAGGCAGGCGGAAUUCGUGGUGUAGCGGUGAAAUGCUUAGAUAUCACGAAGAACUCCGAUUGCGAAGGCAGCCUGCUAAGCUGCAACUGACAUUGAGGCUCGAAAGUGUGGGUAUCAAACAGGAUUAGAUACCCUGGUAGUCCACACGGUAAACGAUGAAUACUCGCUGUUUGCGAUAUACUGCAAGCGGCCAAGCGAAAGCGUUAAGUAUUCCACCUGGGGAGUACGCCGGCAACGGUGAAACUCAAAGGAAUUGACGGGGGCCCGCACAAGCGGAGGAACAUGUGGUUUAAUUCGAUGAUACGCGAGGAACCUUACCCGGGCUUAAAUUGCAGAUGAAUUACGGUGAAAGCCGUAAGCCGCAAGGCAUCUGUGAAGGUGCUGCAUGGUUGUCGUCAGCUCGUGCCGUGAGGUGUCGGCUUAAGUGCCAUAACGAGCGCAACCCUUGUUGUCAGUUACUAACAGGUUCCGCUGAGGACUCUGACAAGACUGCCAUCGUAAGAUGUGAGGAAGGUGGGGAUGACGUCAAAUCAGCACGGCCCUUACGUCCGGGGCUACACACGUGUUACAAUGGGGGGUACAGAGGGCCGCUACCACGCGAGUGGAUGCCAAUCCCCAAAACCUCUCUCAGUUCGGACUGGAGUCUGCAACCCGACUCCACGAAGCUGGAUUCGCUAGUAAUCGCGCAUCAGCCACGGCGCGGUGAAUACGUUCCCGGGCCUUGUACACACCGCCCGUCAAGCCAUGGGAGCCGGGGGUACCUGAAGUGCGUAACCGCGAGGAGCGCCCUAGGGUAAAACUGGUGACUGGGGCUAA
RNAcentral lists this ribosomal RNA (1450 nucleotides) under uncultured organism. RNAcentral describes it as "SSU rRNA". It matches the Rfam family "Bacterial small subunit ribosomal RNA". The record is from RNAcentral.